UAAGGAAUAUUGCUCAAUGGGAGAAAUCCUGAAGCAGCAACGCCGCGUGGAGGAUGAAGGGUCUAUGACUUGUAAACUCCUGUAAAGAAGGAAAAAAUUCCCAUUUGAUGGGAGAUGAUGGUACUUCUGGAGUAAGCCCCAGCUAACUACGUGCCAGCAGCCGCGGUAAUACGUAGGGGGCAAGCGUUGUCCGGAUUUACUGGGUGUAAAGGGUGCUCAGGCGGAUUUGUAAGUCAGAGGUGAAAUCUUACAGCUUAACUGUGAAACUGCCUUUGAAACUGCAAGCCUAGAGUAUGGAAGAGAGUGAUGGAAUAUCUGGUGUAGCAGUGAAAUGCGUAGAUAUCAGAUAGAACACCAAUGGCGAAGGCAGUCACUUGGUCCAUUACUGACGCUAAAGCACGAAAGCGUGGGUAGCAAACA
RNAcentral lists this ribosomal RNA (420 nucleotides) under uncultured bacterium. RNAcentral's name for it is "bacterial SSU rRNA". It matches the Rfam family "Bacterial small subunit ribosomal RNA", at positions 355 to 774 of the family's 1533-position model. The record is from RNAcentral.